This 600-nucleotide ribosomal RNA is filed under the name Triticum aestivum (bread wheat). RNAcentral describes it as "partial small subunit ribosomal RNA". The record is from RNAcentral. Lineage: Eukaryota; Viridiplantae; Streptophyta; Magnoliopsida; Poales; Poaceae.
AUGAAACCAAUCUUCAAACCGCCAAGCACCACCAUUCAAACGGUGGAUGAGCUCAUUGAUACGACCACGUGGUCGUGGCGGCAAGAUGUGGUUAGGGAAACCUUCGUCGCCCCGGAUGCUGAAGCCAUUCUAAACAUUCCGAUCAGGCAAGGGGGAGGUGACGACUCAUUUGCUUGGGCAUUCGAGAAAUCAGGCAACUACACGGUGAAGACAGCGUACCGUGCUCUAAUGACUCAUAAAGAGCGCUUGGCUCUGGAGGAAGGGACGACUAUCGGAACCUUAGUAGACGACCAUCAGUUGUGGAAGGCCUUGUGGAAAUUGAAUGUCAUACCGAAAGUGAGGGUUUUUUGGUGGAGAGUUCUUCGUGGGAUUCUUCCGGAUGAAGCUACUCUCAACUAUCGUCACAUUGCACCAAUUAAUCGGUGCAAAGUCUGCUUAGCGAUGAGAGAGGAUCUGGAGCAUGCUCUUAUUCACUGCUCCCAUGCGCAACGCUUCUGGGACGAGGCCUGUGCUUGGUUUGGCAUUAGGCUACCCCGACUCCAUCCUGACUCAUGGGCUCGCGACAUCACAUGUGAUCCCCGUUUCUCUGAUGAUGACUGA